Equus caballus (horse) is the source of this 598-nucleotide non-coding RNA. Lineage: Eukaryota; Metazoa; Chordata; Mammalia; Perissodactyla; Equidae. The record is from RefSeq and is a predicted model, not a curated record.
CUUUGGGGCUGUCCGCUUUGCUGCUGCCAGAGGGAGUCUGGUGUUUGCGGAGCAGGUGGGGUUGGGAACCGGGUGGGACUUAGCUUUAGAAUUUCCUCUGGCGACCCAGUCUUUCCUCAGGCUUCCUGGAGGGAGCAUCUCCUUCGGGGAUAUUAGUAGCAGCGUUUUAGGCUGGAAGAAAGUCAAGAGACCAGUAAACUAUGGUAUAUCCACACAAUGGAGUAUGAUGCAGCCACAACAGACAGUGAAGAAGACCUCUGUGACCUGAUAUGAAGUGACUUACAGGAUGUACUCUUAAGUGAAAAAAAGCAAGAAAAUCCCUCCUUGGGGCACUUCAGUCCCCUUGGAGCACUGUGAUACCUGGAGGUGAUAGAGGGAAGCUGCAAAAUUUUAUCUGAGAUGGUGAUGAAGCAGACUGAAAGUAUAUCUUUGCUCUUUGCUUCUCUUGCAGGUAGGUAUAGACAAAAGACUAAGUUCUGGGUAACAUAACAGAAGUGGACUUCCAGGAAGGCUCCUUGCAGGAGCAGAUACAACUGGGAGAUGCUUCCUUUUUGCCUUUUCUACUGCCUGAAAUGAGGAUGUGAUGACAGGGGUUAUG